GAUGAACGCUGGCGGCGUGCCUAAUACAUGCAAGUCGAGCGAACAGACGAGGAGCUUGCUCCUCUGACGUUAGCGGCGGACGGGUGAGUAACACGUGGAUAACCUACCUAUAAGACUGGGAUAACUUCGGGAAACCGGAGCUAAUACCGGAUAAUAUAUUGAACCGCAUGGUUCAAUAGUGAAAGACGGUUUUGCUGUCACUUAUAGAUGGAUCCGCGCCGCAUUAGCUAGUUGGUAAGGUAACGGCUUACCAAGGCAACGAUGCGUAGCCGACCUGAGAGGGUAGUCGGCCACACUGGAACUGAGACACGGUACAGACUACUACGGGAGGCAGCAGAAGGGAAACUUACGCAAUGGGAGAAAGCCUGACGGAGCAACGCCGCGUGAGGGAUGAAGGUCUUCGGAUAGUAAAACUCUGUUAUUAGGGAAGAACAAAUGUGUAAGUAACUAUGCACGUAUUGACGGUACCUAAUCAGAAAGCCACGGCUAACUACGUG
Molecule: ribosomal RNA, 497 nt
Filed under: uncultured bacterium
Lineage: Bacteria
Description: partial 16S ribosomal RNA
Rfam family: Bacterial small subunit ribosomal RNA
Source: RNAcentral